Molecule: ribosomal RNA, 932 nt
Filed under: Triticum aestivum (bread wheat)
Lineage: Eukaryota; Viridiplantae; Streptophyta; Magnoliopsida; Poales; Poaceae
Description: partial small subunit ribosomal RNA
Source: RNAcentral
GACCACGAAUUUAGUGCCGGAGGGUUGUGACGAUCACGGGAGCGUCAGGUGAGGCAUCACUCGAAGGUCGGCCGCUCCGCUCUCUGCUGUGCGGCCUGCGGCGUCACUCCAACUUCAAAAAGGUGUAAGGGCUGGGUGCCGGCCGUUCCACGAAUUUAGUGCAGAUUUCCGCAUGAUCGUUCCUCAUAGAUUAUGUCAGGUACCUUUUAUACUUCCCCUCGCACCACAUGUGCCAACGACAAAAGAAGUAGCCCCCAGAUUAAUAGCAACCUGUUACAGCAGGACUCGGUCUCUUGUAGAUACUACUCCCGUUUGACUGUAACUUUACCACAGAAGUUUUCCUAACGUUCUGGUUUCCACUGGGUACCUGGACCUUUUCCCUCACGUAGACGACGCAGUGAGAAGGACUACAUGGAACAAUAGUAAGGGUUUUACUCACGGUUUUCUUGACGGGUUAUUCAACUCGACAGUCAAAUUGAGACUCGUUUUGAUUUAUUUUCGGCUGGCCAUUUCCGAUCCUCUUCUAUUGAAGCACAACUUACCGCUUCAUAGAACACAUUUGGUUGUUGGUCACUUUUUAGACCUUGAAUGUUACACCCCGCGGCCUAGCAACAGAGUGCCGUCACCACCUGACGAUAGCGACCGCAUUUCCGUGUUGCGGGUCCACGCCACUAUCUACUCCGGACCGCGACCACGGCCCCACCUGCGGUGGCUCUGGCUCCGUCCGCCGCGGCCAUGUCGGACGCCUUACCCGACAACCGCCGACCCGCAAAGAUAUAACGACUCGAAGAAGGUACGUAACGACUCGAGGUAAACAACAAAGAACCUACCUUUCAAACUUGUCUUAAAUCACACACACACACCAUACAAGGAUAUGAAUGGAAAAUCACCGUCGGAGUAUUGCAUUAGCUUGUUAUAAUACACUAAGACCC